This 215-nucleotide ribosomal RNA is filed under the name uncultured bacterium. RNAcentral's name for it is "partial 16S ribosomal RNA". It matches the Rfam family "Bacterial small subunit ribosomal RNA", at positions 28 to 244 of the family's 1533-position model. The record is from RNAcentral.
GACGAACGCUGGCGGCGUGCUUAACACAUGCAAGUCGAGCGGUAAGGCCCUUUCGGGGGUACACGAGCGGCGAGCGGGUGAGUAACACGUGGGUGACCUGCCCUCAGCUCUGGGAUAAGCCUGGGAAACCGGGUCUAAUACUGGAUAUGACUCCAUGACGCAUGUUGUGGGGUGGAAAGCCUUGUGCGGCUGAGGAUGGGCCCGCGGCCUAUCAG